RNAcentral lists this long non-coding RNA (659 nucleotides) under Homo sapiens (human). RNAcentral's name for it is "HSALNT0075621". The record is from RNAcentral. Lineage: Eukaryota; Metazoa; Chordata; Mammalia; Primates; Hominidae.
AGGAAGGAGCCGUGGCCGUCUGCGUGCGAGUGCGGCCGCUGAACAGCAGAAUCACUUGGAGAAACUGCCCAAGUUUACUGGAAAACUGACAAUAAUGUCAUUUAUCAAGUUGAUGGAAGUAAAUCCUUCAAUUUUGAUCGUGUCUUUCAUGGUAAUGAAACUACCAAAAAUGUGUAUGAAGAAAUAGCAGCACCAAUCAUCGAUUCUGCCAUACAAGGCUACAAUGGUACUAUAUUUGCCUAUGGACAGACUGCUUCAGGAAAAACAUAUACCAUGAUGGGUUCAGAAGAUCAUUUGGGAGUUAUACCCAGGGCAAUUCAUGACAUUUUCCAAAAAAUUAAGAAGUUUCCUGAUAGGGAAUUUCUCUUACGUGUAUCUUACAUGGAAAUAUACAAUGAAACCAUUACAGAUUUACUCUGUGGCACUCAAAAAAUGAAACCUUUAAUUAUUCGAGAAGAUGUCAAUAGGAAUGUGUAUGUUGCUGAUCUCACAGAAGAAGUUGUAUAUACAUCAGAAAUGGCUUUGAAAUGGAUUACAAAGGGAGAAAAGAGCAGGCAUUAUGGAGAAACAAAAAUGAAUCAAAGAAGCAGUCGUUCUCAUACCAUCUUUAGGAUGAUUUUGGAAAGCAGAGAGAAGGGUGAACCUUCUAAUUGUGAAGG